RNAcentral lists this unclassified non-coding RNA (337 nucleotides) under soil metagenome. RNAcentral's name for it is "partial contains 5.8S ribosomal RNA, internal transcribed spacer 2, and large subunit ribosomal RNA". The stretch from base 1 to 120 matches the Rfam family "5.8S ribosomal RNA", at positions 35 to 154 of the family's 154-position model. The record is from RNAcentral.
GAUGAAGAACGUAGCGAAAUGCGAUAAGUAAUGUGAAUUGCAGAAUUCAGUGAAUCAUCGAAUCUUUGAACGCACAUUGCGCCCGCCAGUAUUCUGGCGGGCAUGCCUGUUCGAGCGUCAUUUCAACCAUCAAGCCCCCGGCUUGUGUUGGGGACCUGCGGCUGCCGCAGGCCCUGAAAUCCAGUGGCGGGCUCGCCGUAGCACCGAGCGCAGUAGCACACCUCUCGCUCCGGUGGCGCGGCGGGCGCCUGCCGUAAAAACCCCCCUACAUCUCAAGGUUGACCUCGGAUCAGGUAGGAAUACCCGCUGAACUUAAGCAUAUUCAAUAAGCGGAGGA